Molecule: ribosomal RNA, 422 nt
Filed under: uncultured bacterium
Lineage: Bacteria
Description: bacterial SSU rRNA
Rfam family: Bacterial small subunit ribosomal RNA
Source: RNAcentral
UAAGGAAUAUUGGUCAAUGGACGCAAGUCUGAACCAGCCAUGCCGCGUGGAGGAUGAAGGUCCUCUGGAUUGUAAACUUCUUUUAUCUGGGACGAAACACUUCUUUUCUAAGUGGCCUGACGGUACCAGAUGAAUAAGCACCGGCUAACUCCGUGCCAGCAGCCGCGGUAAUACGGAGGGUGCAAGCGUUAUCCGGAUUCACUGGGUUUAAAGGGUGCGUAGGUGGGCAGAUAAGUCAGUGGUGAAAUCUUCCGGCUUAACCGGGAAACUGCCGUUGAUACUAUUUGUCUUGAAUAUUGCGGAGGUAAGCGGAAUAUGUCAUGUAGCGGUGAAAUGCUUAGAUAUGACAUAGAACACCAAUUGCGAAGGCAGCUUACUACACAAUCAUUGACACUGAGGCACGAAAGCGUGGGUAGCGAACA